This is a non-coding RNA of Carica papaya (papaya), 422 nucleotides long. The record is from RefSeq and is a predicted model, not a curated record. NCBI's taxonomy places the organism in Eukaryota, Viridiplantae, Streptophyta, Magnoliopsida, Brassicales, Caricaceae.
UUUCUGUUUAUGAUUAUUACUAACAUGUAUAUGAAUAAAUAACUUUGAUUCAGGGAAAGGGUGUUUACCAAUUUGUUGACAAGUAUGGUGCCAACGUCGAUGGAUACAGUCCUAUCUACAACACCAAUGACUGGUCUCCAAGCGGUGAUGUCUACGUUGGCGGUACUACUGGGUUGGCAAUCUGGGCUGUGACCCUAGCUGGUCUUCUUGCAGUGGUGCAUUACUUGUCUACAACACAAGUGCCUUGGUUCAGUAGAAUUCUUCUCUUGUUAUUAUAGUUUUGAUUGUAUCAUACCCUGUAUCUCCCUCUCAUGUACUUGUCUUACCUAACUCUGUAAACGGUCUCAGAUACGUCCGUGAAUCCUUUGUGUGUAAUGCUUUUACCAUAUCUAUAAACUGUUGCAAUUGACGUCUGUGCUGCA